CCCCGGCGCCACGAGUGGCAACCGUGUAUUUGGCCUAAAGCGUCCGUAGCCGGCUUUGUGCAUCCUUUGUGAAAUUGUCCAGCCUAACUGGGCAGCGUGCAGAGGACACGGCAGAGCUUGGAACUGGGAGGCGUGAGCGGUAUUCUUGGGGGAACGGUAAAAUGUUAUAAUCCCAGGAAGACCACCGAUGGCGAAGGCAGCUCACGAGAACAGCUUCGACGGUGAGGGACGAAAGCUAGGGGAGC
Molecule: ribosomal RNA, 245 nt
Filed under: uncultured archaeon
Lineage: Archaea
Description: partial 16S ribosomal RNA
Rfam family: Archaeal small subunit ribosomal RNA
Source: RNAcentral